UACAGAGGGGGCAAGCGUUAUUCGGAAUUAUUGGGCGUAAAGGGCGCGUAGGCGGCUUGGCAAGUGGAAGGUGAAAUCCCUCGGCUUAACCGAGGAACUGCCCUCCAAACUGCUUUGCUUGAGGCCGGGAGAGGUGAGUGGAAUUCCCAGUGUAGCGGUGAAAUGCGUAGAUAUUGGGAGGAACACCAGUGGCGAAGGCGGCUUACUGGACCGGUUCUGACGCUGAGGCGCGAAAGCGUGGGGAGCAAACGGG
This 253-nucleotide ribosomal RNA is filed under the name uncultured bacterium. Its description in RNAcentral is "partial 16S ribosomal RNA". It matches the Rfam family "Bacterial small subunit ribosomal RNA", at positions 524 to 776 of the family's 1533-position model. The record is from RNAcentral.